Molecule: ribosomal RNA, 468 nt
Filed under: uncultured bacterium
Lineage: Bacteria
Description: partial 16S ribosomal RNA
Rfam family: Bacterial small subunit ribosomal RNA
Source: RNAcentral
GACGAACGCUGGCGGCGUGCUUAACACAUGCAAGUCGAACGGAAAGGCCCUGCUUUUGUGGGGUGCUCGAGUGGCGAACGGGUGAGUAACACGUGAGUAACCUGCCCUUGACUUUGGGAUAACUUCAGGAAACUGGGGCUAAUACCGGAUAGGAGCUCCUGCUGCAUGGUGGGGGUUGGAAAGGUUCGGCGGUUGGGGAUGGACUCGCGGCUUAUCAGCUUGUUGGUGGGGUAGUGGCUUACCAAGGCUUUGACGGGUAGCCGGCCUGAGAGGUUGACCGGCCACAUUGGGACUGAGAUACGGCCCAGACUCCUACGGGAGGCAGCAGUGGGGAAUAUUGCACAAUGGGCGGAAGCCUGAUGCAGCAACGCCGCGUGCGGGAUGACGGCCUUCGGGUUGUAAACCGCUUUCGCCUGUGACGAAGCGUGAGUGACGGUAAUGGGUAAAGAAGCACCGGCUAACUACGUG